AGCUGCUUCUUCAAUUGCAUGUCUUCUUGCGGAAGGGAAACGGAUCGGCCAAGGCGGAAGAAGAAGGGGAGACAGUUGGAAGUUGGCUGGUGACUCUUCAAAGAUACAUUCCAAUCAAAGAGAUUCUAAUUUAAUAUGAUGGUCUCAAGAGGGAAGAUGACACAGUUCUCUUUUGAAGAUGAUGCUAUUUCAGAAUCCACACUCCCUCUGCAUCAACUCCAACUUUUGAGAUUUCUACAUUGGAGGGGAUGACGAUAAGAUUAAGCCUACAUAUAAAGACGUAAAUGUAGUAGUGUUUCUAGAGUUUGUUUAAGGAUUCAGUGGGCAAAUUUAAAAAUAUUAAAACUAAAAGCUCAUUUAAAAGGGCUGUUUUCUUGCUA
Non-coding RNA from Arachis ipaensis, 380 nucleotides. The record is from RefSeq and is a predicted model, not a curated record. NCBI's taxonomy places the organism in Eukaryota, Viridiplantae, Streptophyta, Magnoliopsida, Fabales, Fabaceae.